UGGCCCAUUCUGAGAAAUGGA
This 21-nucleotide unclassified non-coding RNA is filed under the name Mus musculus (house mouse). RNAcentral's name for it is "oocyte_clustered_small_RNA11462". The record is from RNAcentral. Lineage: Eukaryota; Metazoa; Chordata; Mammalia; Rodentia; Muridae.